This 73-nucleotide transfer RNA is filed under the name Allostella sp. ATCC 35155. Its description in RNAcentral is "Stella sp. ATCC 35155 tRNA-Ala". The record is from RNAcentral. Lineage: Bacteria; Pseudomonadati; Pseudomonadota; Alphaproteobacteria; Rhodospirillales; Allostellaceae.
CGGACGCAUAGCCGGAUAUUGCCGCCGGCCGGCUCGCGGCCGGCUGAUUCGCCGUGCUAACGGCGGCAUACAA